This 642-nucleotide ribosomal RNA is filed under the name Cryptococcus sp. VTT C-04556. RNAcentral's name for it is "eukaryotic LSU rRNA". It matches the Rfam family "Eukaryotic large subunit ribosomal RNA", at positions 37 to 668 of the family's 3401-position model. The record is from RNAcentral. Lineage: Eukaryota; Fungi; Basidiomycota; Tremellomycetes; Tremellales; Cryptococcaceae.
UGCAUAUCAAUAAGCGGAGGAAAAGAAACUAACUAGGAUUCCCUUAGUAACGGCGAGUGAACCGGGAUGAGCUCAAAUUUGAAAUCUGGCGUCUUUCAGGCGUCCGAGUUGUAAUCUAUAGAGGCGUUUUCCGCGCCGGACCGCGUCCAAGUCUCUUGGAAUAGAGUAUCAAAGAGGGUGACAAUCCCGUACUUGACGCGACAACCGGUGCUCUGUGAUACGUUCUCAAUGAGUCGAGUUGUUUGGGAAUGCAGCUCUAAAUGGGUGGUAAAUUCCAUCUAAGGCUAAAUAUUGGCGAGAGACCGAUAGCGAACAAGUACCGUGAGGGAAAGAUGAAAAGCACUUUGGAAAGAGAGUUAAACAGCACGUGAAAUUGUUAAAAGGGAAACGAUUGAAGUCAGUCGUGUGAGGGGUAUUCAGCCGUCUCUGGCGGUGUAUUUGCCUCUCACGGGUCAACAUCAGUUUGAUCCGGUAGAAAAAGGCGGGAGGAAGGUGGCACCCUCGGGUGUGUUAUAGCCUCCUGUCAUAUGUGCCGGACCAGACUGAGGAACGCAGCUUGCAGCAAUGCCGGGAUUCGUCCACGUACAAGCUUAGGAUGUUGACAUAAUGGCUUUAAACGACCCGUCUUGGAAACACGGACCA